GCCGGCGUGGCGGAAUUGGUAGACGCGCGCGAUUCAAAAUCGCGUUCUUUCGAGAGUACCGGUUCGAUUCCGGUCGCCGGUA
Molecule: transfer RNA, 82 nt
Filed under: Verrucomicrobiales bacterium
Lineage: Bacteria; Pseudomonadati; Verrucomicrobiota; Verrucomicrobiia; Verrucomicrobiales
Description: tRNA-Leu
Rfam family: tRNA
About the family: Transfer RNA (tRNA) molecules are approximately 80 nucleotides in length. Their secondary structure includes four short double-helical elements and three loops (D, anti-codon, and T loops).
Source: RNAcentral